Molecule: ribosomal RNA, 496 nt
Filed under: Macropodus concolor
Lineage: Eukaryota; Metazoa; Chordata; Actinopteri; Anabantiformes; Osphronemidae
Description: partial 12S ribosomal RNA
Rfam family: Bacterial small subunit ribosomal RNA
Source: RNAcentral
UAAACAUUGAUAGUUCAUUACACACACUAUUCGCCAGGGUACUACGAGCAUCAUCUUAAAACCCAAAGGACUUGGCGGUGCUUAAGAUCCACCUAGAGGAGCCUGUUCUAGAACCGAUAACCCCCGUUCAACCUCACCCUCUCUUGCUUUCCCCGCCUAUAUACCGCCGUCGUCAGCUUACCCUGUGAAGGAUGAACAGUAAGCAAAAAUGGCAAAGCCCAAAACGUCAGGUCGAGGUGUAGCGUAUGAGAGGGGAAGAAAUGGGCUACAUUCUCUAGAUUAGAGAAUACGGAUAGUACCCUGAAAUGUGUAUUUAAAGGAGGAUUUAGCAGUAAGCAGAAAAUAGAGAGUUCAGCUGAAACCGGCCCUAAAGCGCGCACACACCGCCCGUCACUCUCCCCAAGCUAUUAAUUACAAAAUACUUAAAACAUGACAACUGCAAAGGGGAGGCAAGUCGUAACAUGGUAAGUGUACCGGAAGGUGUACUUGGAAAAAU